Molecule: ribosomal RNA, 550 nt
Filed under: uncultured bacterium
Lineage: Bacteria
Description: bacterial SSU rRNA
Rfam family: Bacterial small subunit ribosomal RNA
Source: RNAcentral
CCGCACAAGCGGUGGAGCAUGUGGUUUAAUUCGAUGAUACGCGAGGAACCUUACCAGGGCUUAAAUGCAUAUUGACAGUUCUAGAGAUAGAAUUUCCUUCGGGCAAUUUGCAAGGUGCUGCAUGGUUGUCGUCAGCUCGUGCCGUGAGGUGUCAGGUUAAGUCCUAUAACGAGCGCAACCCCUGCCGUUAGUUGCCAGCAUGUAAAGAUGGGGACUCUAACGGGACUGCCGGUGCAAACCGUGAGGAAGGUGGGGAUGACGUCAAAUCAUCACGGCCCUUACGUCCUGGGCCACACACGUGCUACAAUGGCCGGUACAGAGAGCAGCCAUGCCGCAAGGCAGAGCGAAUCUACAAAACCGGUCACAGUUCGGAUCGGGGUCUGCAACCCGACCCCGUGAAGCUGGAAUCGCUAGUAAUCGGAUAUCAGCCAUGAUCCGGUGAAUACGUUCCCGGGCCUUGUACACACCGCCCGUCAAGCCAUGGAAGCCGGGAGUGCCUGAAGUCCGUCACCUCAAGGAGCGGCCUAGGGCAAGAUCGGUAACUAGGGCU